GUGCUCACUUCAGCAGGACACAUACUAAAAUUGGAAUGAUACAGAGAAGAUUAGCAUGACUCCUCGAUAAUUUACUUAAUGGGAGGGGCUGCCCUUGCACUA
RNAcentral lists this small nuclear RNA (102 nucleotides) under Moschus moschiferus (Siberian musk deer). The record is from RNAcentral. Lineage: Eukaryota; Metazoa; Chordata; Mammalia; Artiodactyla; Moschidae.